RNAcentral lists this ribosomal RNA (414 nucleotides) under Triticum aestivum (bread wheat). RNAcentral's name for it is "partial small subunit ribosomal RNA". The stretch from base 12 to 126 matches the Rfam family "MIR1120/MIR1122 microRNA precursor family". The record is from RNAcentral. Lineage: Eukaryota; Viridiplantae; Streptophyta; Magnoliopsida; Poales; Poaceae.
AUGGUAGAAAACCACUACUCCCUCCGUUCGGAAUUACUUGUCUCGGAAAUGGAUGUAUCUAGAACUAAAAUACGUCUAGAUACAUCCAUUUUUGCGACAAGUAAUUCCGAACGGAGGGAGUACUAUGCAGUGAGAAGUAGACAAAAAUCAAGUACCUCAACAAAGUUCUGUGAGAAGAUUAAUCUGGGCUUAAUUCUGCGCUUCAAACUCCUGCUUGCUCAUGAAUAUUGCAACCGGCUCACCAGGGGAAGGCGGAUUCUUGUCCAGCAGAGAAGCAUGCUUUCCAGCUUUGGCACGAGCAGCUCCAUCAAAUGCCGACAGGACCUCAACAUGCUCAAGACCCAACUGCCUUCUGAUCAGCUCCAGGUUCUCCUCAAGCACAUUUAUUUCACCAAAAGGAAGCUUCAAAUUUAG